AUUAUUAAAAAAAAUUAAAAAAAUAAAUAGUCAAAAGAUUGGACCGCAACUUCACUCAACUUAUUGGGCUCAUUUAACUUAACUUAUUAGUUUCCGAGUAAAGCUACUAUGCUAUCAGAAGCAUAGAGGAUCUGGUGCUUCCGAUUUUUUGACCCUUAGAUCAAUCCCUUUAAUUAUUUCUAGUCUUUGGAUUAAUACUAUUAACCUGUGGGGAUCACUAAACCCUAGGCGUACUACUCAACCUUGGAGGGACCGCAAUCGUCCUAAUCGUAUAAUUUUUUAUCUAAUGGUCAAAAAGUUGAAAGCAUCAGAUUUUCUAUACUUUCGAUGGUAUAGUAGCUGUACACUUAGUUUUCUAGACUUAUUAUCUUGGAAUAAAAUGUUUAUUUUCGCUAAUAAUAAAUAGUCAAUAAAAAAAAUCUGAGGCUCAAAAGUGCAAUUCAACCUAAAUAUUAAACAAAUUGUUAGAUCAGAUUAGCCAAACUAGCUAUAGAGUCUAACACUACUAGCUAUACCGUUUGGGAAUGUUUUUGCCCCUACUACUUAUGAGAUUCUAGAUAGUUCUAGAUAUAAAAUAUAAUAAAGCUAAACCUCUAAUCCGACUAUAAUAUUUUGAGCAAUAGUUAGGUCCAAAAUAUUAAAAGAGUUAAACGUGUUAGGACUAGAGUAGUUCUAGAAUGGACGUCACUUGAAAAGUGGGGCAUCACAGUUGGUAUCAGAGCUAAUUAGCAGUCGAAAGUAUGAGAUCAGUCUCGGCUGAGUCAUGUUAUACAGCAAGGACAGCGAAACUCUUAUACUGAUGACUGUUAUGGGCAAAGCGCAGCUCUCUUACAAGAUCAGUUAAGACUAACGAGAUGAGUCUCACAUCGUCAAAUACUUCUGAGUCUGAGCCUAACAAGUAUGUUAGGGUUUAAAGGGGAAAGAAUAUGAAACUUCAGAUAGUCCUAUAUGUAAGAUAUAAUAUGGCCAAACCUUUAAAUUCGGUUAUAGCAUUUUAAGCAGUGGUUAGACCCAAGAAAUUAAGAGAGUUAAUCGUGAUAGCACUACAGUAGUUUUAGGAUAGUUGACCCCCUGGGAAGU
Molecule: long non-coding RNA, 1080 nt
Filed under: Ananas comosus (pineapple)
Lineage: Eukaryota; Viridiplantae; Streptophyta; Magnoliopsida; Poales; Bromeliaceae
Description: long non-coding RNA (ACOM_LNC018275)
Source: RNAcentral